CCUACGGGAGGCUGCAGUGAGGAAUAUUGGUCAAUGGGCGCGAGCCUGAACCAGCAAAGUAGCGUGAAGGAUGACUGCCCUACGGGUUGUAACCUUCUUUUAUAAAGGAAUAAAGUGAGGCACGUGUGCCUUUUUGUAUGUACUUUAUGAAUAAGGAUGGGCUAACUCCGUGGCAGCAGCCGCGGUAAUACGGAGGAUCCGAGCGUUAUCCGGAUUUAUUGGGGUUAAAGGGAGCGUAGAGGGGUUAUUAAGUCAGUUGUGAAAGUCUGCGGCGCAACCGUAAAAUUGCAAUUGAUACUGGCAGCCUUGAGUACAGUUGAGGUAGGCGGAAUUCGUGGUGUAGCGGUGAAAUGCUUAGAUAUCACGAAGAACACCGAUUGCGAAGGCAGCCUACUAAACUGCAACUGACAUUGAUGCUCGAAAGUGUGGGUAUCAAACAGGAUUAGAUACCCUUGUAGUC
RNAcentral lists this ribosomal RNA (460 nucleotides) under uncultured bacterium. Its description in RNAcentral is "partial 16S ribosomal RNA". It matches the Rfam family "Bacterial small subunit ribosomal RNA", at positions 338 to 795 of the family's 1533-position model. The record is from RNAcentral.